RNAcentral lists this long non-coding RNA (237 nucleotides) under Populus trichocarpa (black cottonwood). RNAcentral's name for it is "long non-coding RNA (PTRI_LNC004235)". Lineage: Eukaryota; Viridiplantae; Streptophyta; Magnoliopsida; Malpighiales; Salicaceae. The record is from RNAcentral.
AUAAGUUUCACCAAUAUAAAACAUAAAAAAAUCAUAAAUGAAUCAAAAUAAUAUCUUCAAAAAUUAAAUAUAUAUAAAAUAACUUUAAAAAAACCUCUCUAUCCAAAAAAAAAAAAGAAGCUAAAUAAGCAAAAUAAAAAAUCAUAGAGGAGAGAUUAAAACAUAAAUUAAAAAAUAAUUUAAAAAUAAACAUGAAAAGAAGGCAUCAAUUAAAAUAAAAACCAAAAUCAGAAUAAA